GAUGAAGAACGUAGCGAAAUGCGAUACUUGGUGUGAAUUGCAGAAUCCCGUGAACCAUCGAGUCUUUGAACGCAAGUUGCGCCCGAAGCCAUCAGGUUGAGGGCACGUCUGCCUGUGCGUCACAUAUCGUUGCCCAAUGCCUAUUGCAGUGCAAUAGGAAUUUCUAGGGCGAAUGAUGGCUUCCCGUGAGCGUUGUUGCCUCGCGGUUGGUUGAAAAUCGAGUCCUUGGUAGGGUGUGCCAUGGUAGAUGGUGGUCGAGUUAGAACGAUACCGAUCAUGUGCAUGCUCCCCAAAAUAUGGCCUCUAUGACCCACACGCGUCUUUUGACGCUCAUGACGAGACCUCAGGUCAGGCGGGGCUACCCGCUGAAUUUAAGCAUAUCAAUAAGCGGAGGA
RNAcentral lists this unclassified non-coding RNA (395 nucleotides) under soil metagenome. RNAcentral's name for it is "partial contains 5.8S ribosomal RNA, internal transcribed spacer 2, and large subunit ribosomal RNA". The stretch from base 1 to 122 matches the Rfam family "5.8S ribosomal RNA", at positions 35 to 154 of the family's 154-position model. The record is from RNAcentral.